GCAAGUCGAACGAGAAAGUUCUCUUCGGAGGACGAGUAGAGUGGCGCACGGGUGAGUACAACUUAGGUAACCUGCCCUUUCGCUGGGGACAACCAAGGGAAACUUUGGCUAAUACCGAAUGACUCUAUCCUUUCCGUGGAAAAGAUAGAGAAAGCCUUCGGGCGCGAAAGGAGGGGCCUGAGCCCCAUUAGCUAGUUGGUAAGGUAACGGCUUACCAAGGCAACGAUGGGUAGCUGGUCUGAGAGGAUGAUC
RNAcentral lists this ribosomal RNA (252 nucleotides) under uncultured bacterium. Its description in RNAcentral is "partial 16S ribosomal RNA". It matches the Rfam family "Bacterial small subunit ribosomal RNA", at positions 57 to 305 of the family's 1533-position model. The record is from RNAcentral.